Molecule: long non-coding RNA, 1220 nt
Organism: Homo sapiens (human)
Lineage: Eukaryota; Metazoa; Chordata; Mammalia; Primates; Hominidae
Exons: 5
Source: RefSeq, a predicted model, not a curated record
GCUUUCUGCUGCGAAUGCCAAGUGGAUGGUAUGCAAGUCUGGAGCUGUUCCUGGCUUGUUCUGUGAAAACUUACUGGAGAAUGAAGCCAAUUAGAAGAGAUGCAUUUGAGCAAUGAAGAAAGAAGUUUCCUGAGGACAUUGAGCAUCUGGAUCCAGCUGCAGCUGAAACUGAUCCUACCCUAGGACUUUGCAGGUUUGUCAAAGAUCAUCUAGAAUUUUAAGAAGGUGGCAGACUGGCAGAUGUGACCCACGACCACAUGAGGAGAACAGAAGAGAUGGUGGCAUCAUGAGACUAGUUGGAGACAGUCAGGAAUUAUCCCUUAAGUUUCCUGCGACUCCCAAGUGGCUAAGUCUCCCUCUAAGAGUAAAAAACAUGCUGCCAUCAAAUAUAUAGUGAGCAUGUGUCAAAUAUCAAUCUAACUCAUUUAAUGAAGAGACCAGAAAGAUAAUAAAUCUGGUUGAAGGAGAAUUCAAGGAACAGAGAGCUUCCGCUGCUUCAAAACGGCGUGCAGGAGUCAGAGACAUUACAUCAGGAAGAUACUGCAGAGAUAUUCUACUCCAUCUCAUUCAUUGUACAGAUUCUAAACUCCCUGAAGGAGACAAAUUACCAGUGGACAAGAACACAGCCUCUGGAGUCCAAUAGGCCUGGUGCAUUCAUUAGGGUAAGUGGUGCUAGGUGCUAUAACAGAUAAACCUCAAAUUAUUUGUGACUUCACACAAUAUAACCUUAUUUCUUCACUCAUAUGAAGUCGUUUUUAGUACACAUUGCCAUUUAUGGACAUAGGCUCUUACCUUCUCAUGAUUCUUUGCUGCUUAAUCUGGCUAGAGUGGUUUCCUGAUGUACACAGUGACAAACUCAGAGAGACACAGCUACUUACUAGAUUGAGCUAUAAGAAACUGAUGACAUAUGAACAUAAAUACUGUCUACAAAAUGGCAGUUUCACAUGAUUAAACCUAACUUCACAUGUGAUUUUGAGCAAGGGACUCUCUAAAUCCAUUUCUUUAGCUAUAAAAUGGGGUACCAAUACUCAUUCCCUCCAAGGAGAUUAUAAAGAUCAAAUAAGAGGAUGUAUGCAAAGAACUUCGCAUACAGGCUGACACAGAGUCAGUAACUCAAACAGGUUAGGUAUGAUUUACCCAAUGCCUAGCACAGACUCUCUGGCACAUACUAGCUAUUCUUUAAUUAUAUAUAUGCAUGUAUGUAUGUAUAAAUUGAGAUA